Molecule: long non-coding RNA, 209 nt
Organism: Chelonia mydas (Green sea turtle)
Lineage: Eukaryota; Metazoa; Chordata; Testudines; Cheloniidae
Exons: 3
Source: RefSeq, a predicted model, not a curated record
CAAAGCGUUGUCUCAGGGCUUGGCUACACUUGCAAGUUAGAGCGCAUUAAAGCAGCCCCGGGAGCCCUAACUCCCGAUGCGUCAACACUGGCAAGGCACGCAGAGCGCCUGGAUUCUGCAGCUGGAGCACUCCUGGUAAUCCACCUCCAUGAGAAGCAUAAGGCUUGCUGUGCCCCGGCUGAAAAGCCCGGGCGUCAGUGUGAACGAGG